RNAcentral lists this ribosomal RNA (419 nucleotides) under uncultured bacterium. Its description in RNAcentral is "bacterial SSU rRNA". It matches the Rfam family "Bacterial small subunit ribosomal RNA", at positions 506 to 927 of the family's 1533-position model. The record is from RNAcentral.
GGCCAGCAGCCGCGGUAAUACGGAGGAUGCGAGCGUUAUCCGGAUUCAUUGGGUUUAAAGGGUGCGUAGGCGGAAUAAUAAGUCAGCGGUGAAAGCCUGCGGCUUAACCGUAGAAUUGCCAUUGAUACUGUUAUUCUUGAGUAUAGUUGAAGUAGGCGGAAUGUGUAAUGUAGCGGUGAAAUGCUUAGAUAUUACACAGAACACCAAUUGCGAAGGCAGCUUACUAAGCUGUUACUGACGCUGAGGCACGAAAGCGUGGGGAGCAAACAGGAUUAGAUACCCUGGUAGUCCACGCUGUAAACGAUGAUCACUCGUUGUUGGCGAUACACCGUCAGCGACUGAGCGAAAGCAAUAAGUGAUCCACCUGGGGAGUACGGCGGCAACGCUGAAACUCAAAGGAAUUGACGGGGGCCCGCACA